Asterias rubens (European starfish) is the source of this 1040-nucleotide long non-coding RNA. RefSeq lists it as uncharacterized. The record is from RefSeq and is a predicted model, not a curated record. The transcript has 4 exons. NCBI's taxonomy places the organism in Eukaryota, Metazoa, Echinodermata, Asteroidea, Forcipulatida, Asteriidae.
UUUGCUCAGGUUGGUUUGACAGUGUUGGUAUACUAUUAUUAUGUAAGACAUGUGACAACAGGGGCAGUCCUGCAUGGUCUGGUAUGAAGCAUGGCUGAAGUAAACCAAAGGCCAGGUGGCCUUAUUUCAGAGUUAAGAUUGUUUUGCUGAAGGAGUAGUUUGCCAUGCACCAUCCACCAUCUUAUCUGCACUGUGCUGUGUGAUGGGAUGCCCCCUCAGAACCAUCAAACUCCAGCAGCAUGUUUAAUUUGAUUCUGUUUGACUAAGGACUGCGUUCGUAAACUGAUUUUGCUUGGGAUCAGGCACACCACCAGAGAGUCCAACAGUUUGAUUGUUGAGCUCCUGCAUGGUGCUGGAUUUGAAGUGAGUGCUUGUACACACGGAUCGCUGCAUCCAUUCUGCUAACAUUACACCAGUCUCCAUGGUAACGUCAUUGCAGGAUAUUGUCCAAGUCGUAUUUCCCCUGGUAACUAUGGCAACAUAAUGACCGGAACCAGCUAUUUGAUGUCUACUACUGUCAUCGUGGGAACUAUACUCGACCUGUACUUGGCGAUGGUUUCACAAGCACCAUCAAGAAUUUCAAUUAGUUCUCUUCCUGCGUUCGGAUCUUCAUAAAGGACACAUGCGCUGUUUUAAUAAAAGAUUGUUGUCCUUCAAUUAGCUUGAUUUCCUUGAAUCUCACAUGGCAAGCAUUUUGCUUGGGGGGGGGGGGGAAGCUAGGUACAAUAUUGGUGAUAUGCGAAAUCUGAAAUGGAUCCUAUUAGUUUAGUCAAGUCCCUGGUACUCCUCUCCGACUAAACGAUAGAGGGUGUGUCCACUCCAAACCAAUAAAUACACAAAUAAAAUGCUCCCAUACUUUAAAACAAUCUUUUCCCUGUGACACAAUUCUUUUCCUCCAAAAGGGAUGUACACAUGGUUGCACCCGCAAAUUUACUAUAGUUAUAUAGUUGCUUCAUAUUUCCCACACCUUGCAAAGCUUCAAACAUCACUUGAGCAAAGGUUAUCUCACUAUGAUUAUACAGCAUUGGCAAGCAUUGGCA